AUGUCUUUGUCUCUUUCAUCGCGAGAAACUGCAUGCCUUCCCUCACCAAAUUCUGCAGUCGGCUGCUUGCUCAAGGUUGCGCAAACACCAGAGAUUUGCUGUUCAGAAAGGGAAUCAACGAUGCCGAGGAGAGCCCAGGUGCCCUCUCUGCCCUGGGAACAGACAGUCAACUAUUCUUCACAGGUCGCUCGCUUCAAAGAGGCAUGUCCAUCCAGUCCCCAUUCUAAUCAGUACAUGCGGUCUACACAUGCUGACCACAUCUGUGAAUGCCUGAUCGUCGGCCUGCUGGUCACUAUCAAUCGCCCUUCUAGUCGACGUCAUCAUAGCUCCGGCCUCCGUCUUUCUUUGAUGCUGGCAAUUGUGAAAUCAAAUAAGUGA
This 378-nucleotide ribosomal RNA is filed under the name Triticum aestivum (bread wheat). RNAcentral's name for it is "partial small subunit ribosomal RNA". The record is from RNAcentral. Lineage: Eukaryota; Viridiplantae; Streptophyta; Magnoliopsida; Poales; Poaceae.